GAUGAAGAACGCAGCGAAAUGCGAUAAGUAAUGUGAAUUGCAGAAUUCAGUGAAUCAUCGAAUCUUUGAACGCACAUUGCGCCCGCCAGUAUUCUGGCGGGCAUGCCUGUUCGAGCGUCAUUUCAACCCUCAAGCCCAGCUUGGUGUUGGGGAUCGGCACAGGCGCCCUCGGGCGCCCGCCGUCCCCUAAAUCUAGUGGCGGUCCCGCUGCAGCCUCCUCUGCGUAGUAGUUUUCUCCUCGCAAGGGCAGCUCGGUGGCGACCUCGCCGUAAAACCCCCAACUUCUGAAAGGUUGACCUCGAAUCAGGUAGGAAUACCCGCUGAACUUAAGCAUAUAAUAAGCGGAGGA
Molecule: unclassified non-coding RNA, 349 nt
Filed under: soil metagenome
Description: partial contains 5.8S ribosomal RNA, internal transcribed spacer 2, and large subunit ribosomal RNA
Rfam family: 5.8S ribosomal RNA (bases 1-120)
Source: RNAcentral